CCUUUGCAUGGACAACGCGUUCUGGGAUGCGCUCUCGGUCGAAGUGGGAAAUGAGAUCGAUCAGGUGGAAGUCCUGGAGGAGGA
This 84-nucleotide transfer RNA is filed under the name Fonsecaea multimorphosa. Its description in RNAcentral is "tRNA-Arg". The record is from RNAcentral. Lineage: Eukaryota; Fungi; Ascomycota; Eurotiomycetes; Chaetothyriales; Herpotrichiellaceae.